RNA transcript from Oryza sativa Japonica Group (Japanese rice), 1757 nucleotides. It is a transcript of the gene named bifunctional riboflavin kinase/FMN phosphatase, with no coding region annotated. Lineage: Eukaryota; Viridiplantae; Streptophyta; Magnoliopsida; Poales; Poaceae. The record is from RefSeq and is a predicted model, not a curated record.
ACCGCGCGACGCAGGGGGUGCACCCGCAAAUCAACCGACCCACAAGCUCGCCAAAUGGCCUCCGAUUCCCGUCCCCUUGCUCCUCCUCCCGCCCUUAAAUCCGACGCGCCGCACUCGCUCCCUCCCCGACUCACCCCCGCCGCCCACAGACUACUCCGCGCCCCCGCGAUCGCCUCCCUCGCCUCCGCUGCCCAUGGCGGCAACGACGCCCAGGGUCUCGGCCGUGAUCUUCGACCUCGACGGCACGCUCCUCGACACAGAGAGGGCAACGAGGGACGUCCUGAACGAGUUCCUGGCGGCGUACGGGAAGGUCCCGGACAAGGAGAAGGAGGAGAGGAGGUUGGGGCAGAUGUACAGGGAGUCCACCACCGGGAUCAUCGCCGAUUAUGGGCUACCGCUCACCGUAGAAGAGUACGCUGUGGCGAUAUACCCGUUGUACCUGAAAAGGUGGCAAAAGGCAAAGCCACUCCCUGGAGUCGAGAGGCUUGUCAAGCAUCUUCAUAGGAACGGAGUGCCUCUAGCACUUGCUUCAAAUUCCGUCAGGAGAAACAUCGAUCACAAACUGUUAAAAUUAAAAGAUUGGAAAGACUGUUUUUCUGUGAUUCUUGGUGGAGACCAGGUCCCUCGUGGAAAACCUUCCCCUGACAUAUUUCUGGAGGCCGCAAAAGGACUUGGUGUAAAUCCAUCAUCAUGUUUGGUCAUAGAAGAUUCUCUCGUCGGAGUUCAGGGUGCCAGGGCUUCUGGGGCAAAAGUAGUUGCUGUCCCAUCACUCCAAAGUCAAAGGCAGCACUACUCAAUUGCUGAUUCUAUCCUCUACUCACUGCUGGACUUUCAUCCUGAGUUGUGGGGUCUUCCUCCUUUUGAAGAUCGCAUUCAGGGUGCUUUACCAAUCGAACAAUUAUUCUUGAAUGCCCAGAUAGGCCAUGCAAUUUCAAAGAGUCUUCAUAUGGUAAUAGCAGGUGAUUGUACCUAUGAAUAUGUUCCUGACCAAAUAUCAGGAAUUUUCUUUGGUUGGGCCAAGCCAGAAGCAGGCGGAGUAUCUAGGUCGGUGAUAAGCAUUGGAUGGGACUUUUCGCUGCGGACAGUUGAAAGAGUGAUGGUUUGUAUCUUAGAUUUAGCACAUAUAUUUCCUUGAUUCCUGUUGUAAGAUAACAACGGAGGAGCCCCUGAAGCUGCAGUUAGUUGGGUACAUCCGGAAGCUCCAAAGCACGGAAAAUAUAUCACAAGCAUUGGCCAUAACUGACGAAGAUCAAGCCAUUGCAAGGGAUGCAUUGGACCUCCCAGUUUUCUCUGAACACGCGAAGUUAUAAAAUGGCCUUCUGCUCUCUUGGCAUGAUCUCAGAAGUUAUAUGCUCAGGUUAUUGUUUAAUUAGCAAGCGAAAACGCUGGCAGCAUCUGUUUUCCUUGAAUUACAGCAGUAUAGGAAUCGCUUGCAGAGAAUAGCUGCAGGAACGAAGUUUUAGAUCUUAUUUAAACCGCUCGAAAUUGUAAUUGAAAAUAUUUAUACAGGGAUAGAAUAAACAGGUGUUAGGUAGGGAUUAAGGCCACUGAGGAGAUACGUUAUUGUAACAGGCAGGGAUUGGGAAUACUAUGAGGAGAUACGUUAUACAGGGAGAUAAUUUUUUUCGUUCUGUUCCGCCUAAGCUCAUAAGUACAGGUAGUGAGUAACAAGGCUAUGUAAUGAUUGUUCACGAAGAAAUACAGUUUAAUAUGUCUUCUGAAUUCAAUUAAUCAAUAAAGUGUCCUUACUGUCAGUC